This 253-nucleotide ribosomal RNA is filed under the name uncultured bacterium. RNAcentral's name for it is "partial 16S ribosomal RNA". It matches the Rfam family "Bacterial small subunit ribosomal RNA", at positions 524 to 776 of the family's 1533-position model. The record is from RNAcentral.
UACAGAGGGUGCAAGCGUUAAUCGGAAUUACUGGGCGUAAAGCGUGCGUAGUCGGUUAUCUAAGUCAGGUGUGAAAUCCCCGGGCUCAACCUGGGAAUUGCAUUUGAUACUGGAUAGCUAGAGUUCGGCAGAGGGAUGUGGAAUUCCAGGUGUAGCGGUGAAAUGCGUAGAUAUCUGGAGGAACACCGGUGGCGAAGGCGGCAUCCUGGACCGGUAUUGACGCUGAGGCGCGAAAGCUAGGGGAGCAAACGGG